RNAcentral lists this ribosomal RNA (569 nucleotides) under uncultured marine bacterium. Its description in RNAcentral is "bacterial SSU rRNA". It matches the Rfam family "Bacterial small subunit ribosomal RNA", at positions 55 to 634 of the family's 1533-position model. The record is from RNAcentral.
AUGCAAGUCGAGCGAAGCUUUUCAGUAGUUUACUACAGAAAAUGACUGAGCGGCGAAAGGGUGAGUAACGCGUGAGCAAUCUACCUUAGUUACAGGGAUAGCCCGAGGAAACUCGGAUUAAUACCUGAUACUCUUUAUAUUUCGCAUGAAAUUAAAAGGAAAGGUCAGCCGAACUAAGAUGAGCUCGCGUUCUAUCAGCUAGUUGGUGAGGUAAAAGCUCACCAAGGCUACGACGGAUAGCUGGUCUGAGAGGACGAUCAGCCACACUGGGACUGAGACACGGCCCAGACUCCUACGGGAGGCUGCAGCAGGGAAUAUUGUGCAAUGAACGAAAGUUUGACACAGCGACACCGCGUGUGGGAUGACGGAUCUAGGUUUGUAAACCACUUUCAGGAGGGAAGAAAAUGACGGUACCUCCACAAGAAGCCCCGGCCAACUACGUGCCAGCAGCCGCGGUAAUACGUAGGGGGCGAGCGUUGUCCGGAUUUAUUGGGCGUAGAGAGCUCGUAGCGGUUCAACAAGUCGUUCGUGAAAGUUCAGGGCUCACCCCUGAAAUGUCGAUCGAUACU